CGGCAAGAAGUGUGAGCAAGCAAUUGAAAAGUUGCUUCGCACAUUACAGUGUAGGCAGUCGACGUUGAAGGUUUUCACGCGCCACACGUUCGUAGACAGUAGAAGUGUUAUUUUCCAACUUUCAGAUAAAACGCUGAGGAAAAUGAAGAGUUUGGUCUUUCUGGCUUUCUUGGUAUGCCUGGGUUGUGUUUGUGCUACGUAUGAGGAAGAGUUGUUUCAGCGAAACGAGGAUGAUCCCGUUCCAUAUGAAAAAGCUGCAGAAAAAGAUGAUCUCGCCCUGAGGUGGCUCCUAGCUAAGCUCAUCGAUAGAAUGGAUGAAAUGAAAAAGAGAACGAGCUGUGUCUUUUUAAGUUGUCCAGAAGGACAACACUGUUAUGAGCAGAACAAUUCAGGCACUGGCCACUGCGUUCCGAAUAAAGGAUAAGCAGAGAAUGCGACAAUCCGGAAGAUCUUUGGAACCCAUUCCUGGAACUGAACAUGACCAAUGGCAUCUGGAACAAUUUCUGUUGAAUAUUUUAAUGCUUCAGGAACAUGCUAAUAACUGUUGCUUAGAAUUUUAAUGCGUCCAAGAAUUUUGUGACAAUACCUUGAAAAUGACUAAAGUUGCUCUUAGAGGGUGUACGCAAUUAGAUUCUUUCCAUGUAAUCAUUAAAAAUGCAUCGUGCCUGAUUCACUUGCAAUUUUGCCAUUUAAAGGUCAAUUCAUUGCUAUUUCCAUACACAAAUGUCUCCAUUCUUCUUCGGUGUCACUUUUAUUGUCAAGCUUUCGUGUUAGUUUUUGUCAUUUCAUUUUAAUUAUAAAUAUUUUCAAGUUUAGGCUGUUGCAAUGACAUUAAGCGGCUGUUUCAUUGAUAAACUUGCAUAUGAAUACGUCUUUGGAUAAUGAUGUCGUAUUAGUAUAAGAUCAUUCUGCGUAUAAGCUACCUGGUGUGACAUUAUUUCUAAAUAUGCAAAUCUAUGCAAUUGAAAAUUAUUGCACUGACUUAAUCGACUAAAUCCAAGUCCAAUUGGAUCUAAGUUUUCCAAAUGCACAAAAGUUUGUGAGGCCGGUUUUGAAAUGAUUCAUUCGAAACAAAUCCAGCCACUGCUUGCAAGACGGAAAUUUCCAACGCUUGUUGGAGAUCUGACCUUCAGUUGAUGGAUAUUUCUCUGAAGAUCAAAGUGGGGUUCAGUUUUUGGUUGGGGCUCUAAAUGGUUUUCAAACAAAAAUAAUGGAUAAAUGGGUUGACGGUGUUUGACUCUAACUUGCCUCUUUAAAAUGCUGGGUAUAAUGUGGGGGAAUCAGCAUUUCAAGAUCUAACGUCAGAAUUUGUCAAGUUAGAAGACACCGAUGUUCCAGAGCUCAUUACACCGUGCUUUGGCAUAAUACAGCCUAUUCAUUAGACUAUUUUUUUAAUGGAAAAGCUGGGUUCAAAACUGCUCAAUCACGUGUGCCAAAGUUGAAGACGUUUUCAGUAUAUGGACGUUUGUUUUGAUUGUGGGUAUUUUCUGCCUUCUUGAGGGGAAUGAAGUUUAACGUAGAAAAAAAUAGAAAAUAAAACUAUAGAUUCAAGGCUGAAAGAAA
This 1563-nucleotide long non-coding RNA is filed under the name Acanthaster planci (crown-of-thorns starfish). RNAcentral describes it as "uncharacterized LOC110986972". Lineage: Eukaryota; Metazoa; Echinodermata; Asteroidea; Valvatida; Acanthasteridae. The record is from RNAcentral.